This 440-nucleotide ribosomal RNA is filed under the name uncultured bacterium. RNAcentral's name for it is "partial 16S ribosomal RNA". It matches the Rfam family "Bacterial small subunit ribosomal RNA", at positions 338 to 795 of the family's 1533-position model. The record is from RNAcentral.
CCUACGGUAGGCAGCAGUGGGGUAUAUUGCACAAUGGGGGAAACGCUGAUGCAGCAACGCCGCGUGUAGGAAGAAGGUUUUCGGAUUGUAAACCACGUUUCUUGGUGAAGAUAAUGACGGUAACCAAGGAGAAAGCUCCGGCUAACUACGUGCCAGCAGCCGCGGUAAUACGUAGGGAGCAAGCGUUGUCCGGAUUUACUGGGUGUAAAGGGUGCGUAGGCGGUCUUGUAAGUCAGACGUGAAAACUUCAGGCUCAACCUGUAGACUGCGUUUGAAACUGGGGGGCGUGAGUGAAGUAGAGGUAGGCGGAAUUCCCGGUGUAGCGGUGAAAUGCGUAGAGAUCGGGCGGAACACCAGUGGCGAAGGCGGCCUACUGGGCUUUAACUGACGCUGAGGCACGAAAGCAUGGGGAGCAAACAGGAUUAGAUACCCGAGUAGUC